Non-coding RNA from Pantherophis guttatus, 231 nucleotides. The record is from RefSeq and is a predicted model, not a curated record. NCBI's taxonomy places the organism in Eukaryota, Metazoa, Chordata, Lepidosauria, Squamata, Colubridae.
AGAACAAUAAGAACAGCUUAAAUUUAGAAUGGUUACAUGCAAUACAGGAGAUCACAACGGCAUUGAGUAAAGAAAGCACAGAGUGAAAAGUUUAUUUCAGCAAAGAACAAUUGAAGUGCCACCCAACAGAAAGGAAAUACCUGUUUCUGCCAUUUCGUGCAAGGUCAUCAUCGAAUAAGGAGGUUCCUGAUCACUAAAAGGGGGGAAAAAAAGUAAAAACCUUGUUAAUUA